AGUGAACGCUGGCGGUAGGCCUAACACAUGCAAGUCGAACGGCAGCACAGUAAGAGCUUGCUCUUACGGGUGGCGAGUGGCGGACGGGUGAGGAAUACAUCGGAAUCUACUUUUUCGUGGGGGAUAACGAAGGGAAACUUACGCUAAUACCGCAUACGACCUACGGGUGAAAGCAGGGGAUCUUCGGACCUUGCGCGAUUGAAUGAGCCGAUGUCGGAUUAGCUAGUUGGCGGGGUAAAGGCCCACCAAGGCGACGAUCCGUAGCUGGUCUGAGAGGAUGAUCAGCCACACUGGAACUGAGACACGGUCCAGACUCCUACGGGAGGCAGCAGUGGGGAAUAUUGGACAAUGGGCGCAAGCCUGAUCCAGCAAUACCGCGUGAGUGAAGAAGGCCUUCGGGUUGUAAAGCCCUUUUGUUGGGAAAGAAAAGCAGCAGGUUAAUACCCCGCUGUUCUGACGGUACCCAAAGAAUAAGCACCGGCUAACUUCGUG
Molecule: ribosomal RNA, 492 nt
Filed under: uncultured bacterium
Lineage: Bacteria
Description: partial 16S ribosomal RNA
Rfam family: Bacterial small subunit ribosomal RNA
Source: RNAcentral